This 274-nucleotide ribosomal RNA is filed under the name uncultured bacterium. Its description in RNAcentral is "partial 16S ribosomal RNA". It matches the Rfam family "Bacterial small subunit ribosomal RNA", at positions 523 to 796 of the family's 1533-position model. The record is from RNAcentral.
AUACGGAGGGUGCAAGCGUUGUUCGGAAUCACUGGGCGUAAAGGGCGCGCAGGCGGUUUUACAAGUCAGAUGUGAAAGCCCACGGCUCAACCGUGGAAGUGCAUUUGAAACUGUAAGACUUGAGUAUCAGAGGGGAAGGUGGAAUUCCCGGUGUAGAGGUGAAAUUCGUAGAUAUCGGGAGGAAUACCGGUGGCGAAGGCGACUUUCUGGCUGAAUACUGACGCUGAGGCGCGAAAGCGUGGGGAGCAAACAGGAUUAGAAACCCUAGUAGUCC